RNAcentral lists this ribosomal RNA (484 nucleotides) under uncultured bacterium. RNAcentral describes it as "partial 16S ribosomal RNA". It matches the Rfam family "Bacterial small subunit ribosomal RNA", at positions 30 to 507 of the family's 1533-position model. The record is from RNAcentral.
AUUGAACGCUGGCGGCAUGCCUUACACAUGCAAGUCGAACGGCAGCGCGGGAGCAAUCCUGGCGGCGAGUGGCGAACGGGUGAGUAAUACAUCGGAACGUGCCCAAUCGUGGGGGAUAACGCAGCGAAAGCUGUGCUAAUACCGCAUACGAUCUACGGAUGAAAGCAGGGGAUCGCAAGACCUUGCGCGAAUGGAGCGGCCGAUGGCAGAUUAGGUAGUUGGUGAGGUAAAGGCUCACCAAGCCUUCGAUCUGUAGCUGGUCUGAGAGGACGACCAGCCACACGGGAACUGAGACACGGCCCAGACUCCUACGGGAGGCAGCAGUGGGGAAUUUUGGACAAUGGGCGAAAGCCUGAUCCAGCCAUGCCGCGUGCAGGAUGAAGGCCUUCGGGUUGUAAACUGCUUUUGUACGGAACGAAACGGUCUUUUCUAAUAAAGAAGGCUAAUGACGGUACCGGAAGAAUAAGCACCGGCUAACUACGUG